UCUAAGGAAAUCGAAAAGAUUUUUUUCGAUUUAAAAAAAUAGGUUAAUGUGACCGUCCUCAUUUCUCUUCUUUUAAUGUCUCUGAGUAAAUAAAGUGUAAGUAAGGGGCCGGUAGCUCAGGUGGUUAGAGCGCACCCCUGAUAAGGGUGAGGUCGGAAGUUCGAGUCUUCCUCGGCCCACCAAUAUUACGGGGGAUUAGCUCAGCUGGGAGAGCGCCUGAUUUGCAUUCAGGAGGUCAGCGGUUCGAUCCCGCUAUCCUCCACCAAAAUUUGAGACAUUUAGCUUUUUUAAAUUGUGAAUAUUAUUAUUAUCAAUAUCUAUAUCCGAUUGUUUUCAGAUAUUUUUUUGAAAACAAUCAAAACAAAAAUUUAAUUUAUAACAGAAAAAUUUUUUUCUGUGCAUAAAU
Molecule: transfer RNA, 406 nt
Filed under: uncultured marine alpha proteobacterium
Lineage: Bacteria; Pseudomonadati; Pseudomonadota; Alphaproteobacteria
Description: 16S-23S intergenic spacer region
Rfam family: tRNA (bases 106-179)
Source: RNAcentral